GGGUGGCCAAUCCGAUGGUUGGCGACGGAAUCGGUCUUGAAAACCGCCGAGCUAGAGAUAGCCUUUGGAGUUCGAUCCUCCAGCCACCCGCCA
RNAcentral lists this transfer RNA (93 nucleotides) under compost metagenome. RNAcentral's name for it is "tRNA-Ser". The record is from RNAcentral.